CAUAGACCUCGGAUCAGGUAGGGAUACCCGCUGA
This 34-nucleotide ribosomal RNA is filed under the name Protoparmelia badia. RNAcentral describes it as "partial large subunit ribosomal RNA". The record is from RNAcentral. Lineage: Eukaryota; Fungi; Ascomycota; Lecanoromycetes; Lecanorales; Parmeliaceae.